UACGUAGGGUGCAAGCGUUAAUCGGAAUUACUGGGCGUAAAGCGUGCGCAGGCGGUUUUGUAAGUCUGAUGUGAAAUCCCCGGGCUUAACCUGGGAAUGGCAUUUGUGACUGGAAGGCUAGAGUGUGUCAGAGGGGGGUAGAAUUCCACGUGUAGCAGUGAAAUGCGUAGAGAUGUGGAGGAACACCGAUGGCGAAGGCAGCCCCCUGGGUCAAGAUUGACGCUCAUGCACGAAAGCGUGGGGAGCAAACAGG
This 253-nucleotide ribosomal RNA is filed under the name uncultured bacterium. Its description in RNAcentral is "partial 16S ribosomal RNA". It matches the Rfam family "Bacterial small subunit ribosomal RNA", at positions 524 to 776 of the family's 1533-position model. The record is from RNAcentral.